GUCCGCUAGUUUUUUUACAAGUAUUAUGAGUUUCCAGCAUGCAACUUCGACAACAGACAGCGUCAUGGUGGCCACAGAACAAGUCGAGUUCCAUGUUUGGGUGUGUAGGGCAGUGCUUGUUUUCAUUCAUUUUCAUAAAGCCGUGAAUCGCCGAAAUGUCGAUAAGAUGAUGGGUUGCGAAGGGCUUGAAAGUAUUAUGAGCAGUCAUGCAAUCAUAACAAAAUGGGUCAUCACAAUCGGUGCAAUAUUCAUUGGCCGAGGAUGAUUCAUUUUCCCUAGAACAGGGUCCACAUUAAGAAUUUGACGCCAUCUUCU
RNAcentral lists this long non-coding RNA (315 nucleotides) under Mytilus galloprovincialis (Mediterranean mussel). The record is from RNAcentral. Lineage: Eukaryota; Metazoa; Mollusca; Bivalvia; Mytilida; Mytilidae.